Nothoprocta perdicaria is the source of this 222-nucleotide long non-coding RNA. RefSeq lists it as uncharacterized. The transcript has 2 exons. Lineage: Eukaryota; Metazoa; Chordata; Aves; Tinamiformes; Tinamidae. The record is from RefSeq and is a predicted model, not a curated record.
AGAUGAGAAGAAGGGGAUGUCUCCGUCCGGCUUCUCUGCUCCUGAUGCCACAACAGGCUGGAUCACUAGCCCUUGCAUGAGUCAAAUGUUGUGACCCACUUACCUAGAUGGAGGGAGCGGCGAGUCUUCCCCGAGGAAGGAUUCAUCUUCCACUGAGGAAGGAUUUGAUGUCUUCUGUCCAAGAAGUAUUAAUGCUGUUUAUGCUGAUCUGACUUAUUUACA